AUUGGCACUCCAUACAAAAUACUUUAGAAUCCCAUAAUCUACUAAGGUUUUAAUAUCGAUUGUUGGAAAUAUUUUGCUAAAAAAUUAAGAAAUUUUGAUUUGAAAAACACCAAGAUAAAAGUCAAUUUCAGUUUUUCAAUAAAAGAAAUUAGUAAUUUUCUUUCACAAGGACAUUUACGCAAACACAAUGGAUUUAUGAAAUUAAUUUUGAUCUUGUCAACAAAGGAAGUGGGAUUACCACGGAAUUUAUUUUUUGAAACAAAAUUUGACACACAAUCACUGACUUCUUACAAAAGCUCUCAUACGCACAACUCUUAGAGAACAACUGACUAACAGUCCAGGGCCUGGACUCUGGACUCCAGGCUAAGCCAGAUCGUGAAUAGAGUAACCCCCUUCCUCACUACCACGUGGCUGCAGUGCCUUCGUUUUGGCGGAAACUGAAGAAAAAUUUCUCAAAACGAUUGACAGCCAGCGCGCCAGAGUAAUUUAUUCAGAUAUAGAACAUUAGUCUUGAAAUAAAAAUCCAAUCUGGAUAGUCCACUUAGUAUCACAUAUUUGUUAAACACUCUUGAUUGUAAUUUGCAAAUAAAAAUA
Cotesia glomerata is the source of this 594-nucleotide long non-coding RNA. RefSeq lists it as uncharacterized. Lineage: Eukaryota; Metazoa; Arthropoda; Insecta; Hymenoptera; Braconidae. The record is from RefSeq and is a predicted model, not a curated record. The transcript has 2 exons.